RNAcentral lists this ribosomal RNA (253 nucleotides) under uncultured bacterium. Its description in RNAcentral is "partial 16S ribosomal RNA". It matches the Rfam family "Bacterial small subunit ribosomal RNA", at positions 524 to 776 of the family's 1533-position model. The record is from RNAcentral.
GACAGAGGUGCCAAGCGUUAGGCGGAAUCACUGGGCUUAAAGCGUGUGUAGGCGGAUCGUUAAGUACCUUGUGAAAUCCCACGGCUUAACCGUGGAACUGCUCGGUAUACUGGCGGUCUUGAGCAACCUAGGGGCGAGCGGAACAAAUGGUGGAGCGGUGAAAUGCGUAGAUAUCAUUUGGAACGCCAAUGGUGAAGACAGCUCGCUGGGGGUUUGCUGACGCUGAGACACGAAAGCCAGGGGAGCAAACGGG